GAGUCCUUAACGCUAUUAUAUACUUGAUCUUGAUAUCCUACGUGGAUAACUGUGGUAAUUCUAGAGCUAAUACAUGCACCAAAGCUCCGAAUUUUUGACGAGCGCAUCUAUUAGAUUAAAACCAAUCGGGUUUCGGCCCGUUUGUUGGUGACUCUGAAUAACUAUGGCUAAUCGCAGUGGCUUGAACCGGAAACGUGUCUAUCAAGUGUCUGCCUUAUCAACUUUCGAUGGUAGUUUAUGUGCCUACCAGGGUUGUAACGGGUAACGGAGAAUAAGGGUUCGACUCCGGAGAGGGAGCCUGAGAAACGGCUACCACAUCCCAGGAAGGCAGCAGGCGCGCAAAUUACCCACUCUCGGCAUGAGGAGGUAGUGACCAAAAAUAACGAGACCGUUCUCUAUGAGGCCCGGUUAUCGGAAUGGGUACAAUUUAAACCCCGUUAACGAGGAUCUAUGAGAGGGCAAGUCUGGUGCCCGCCAGCCCCGGUAAUUCCCGCCUCUCAAAGUGUAUAUCGUCCUUGGCUGCGGUUAAAAAAGCUCGUAGUUUGGAAUCUGCGCCCUCAGGACCUGGGUCCGCCCACUGGGGUGAAAAACUGGGCUCCUGGGGCUAGUUCUGCUGGGUUUUCCCCUACCUUGGCCUUCAUCGGUAGCGUAAGGGUGGGCUAAGCGAGUUUUACUUUAGAAAAAAAAUUACAGUGCUUCCCGGCGGGGCUUUAUGGUCUGAAUUACUCGGUGGCAGGGAAUAGUAGAUACGAAUCUCCGCUCCAAUCUUGUUGCGUUUUCCUGAUCUGAGAUAUGGAUAAAAGGGGACGGGAGCGGGGGCAAUUCGUAUCGGCUGCGGUGAAACGGUGCAAAAUACUUGGUACCGUGUAGACGAGAACGUUCGAACUGGGAACGACCUUUGGCCAGGAAAGUUCUCGUGAAUCAGAACGAAACGUCAGAGGAUAGAAGGCCAUCCGAAUUCGGCUAUAAGCUCUCGGAGACGAGUCAUUUUCGAUAACAAUCGUGGCUCGAUAGCCGUUAAACUGUCCUUCGAACGUGCACUACUGGCCGACA
This 1053-nucleotide ribosomal RNA is filed under the name Rostellascaris sp. 'oceanica'. Its description in RNAcentral is "SSU rRNA". It matches the Rfam family "Eukaryotic small subunit ribosomal RNA", at positions 91 to 1088 of the family's 1831-position model. The record is from RNAcentral. Lineage: Eukaryota; Metazoa; Nematoda; Chromadorea; Rhabditida; Ascarididae.